RNAcentral lists this ribosomal RNA (694 nucleotides) under Lactifluus emergens. RNAcentral describes it as "eukaryotic LSU rRNA". It matches the Rfam family "Eukaryotic large subunit ribosomal RNA", at positions 1 to 661 of the family's 3401-position model. Lineage: Eukaryota; Fungi; Basidiomycota; Agaricomycetes; Russulales; Russulaceae. The record is from RNAcentral.
UUGACCUCAAAUCGGGUGAGACUACCCGCCGAACUUAAGCAUAUCAAUAAGCGGAGGAAAAGAAACUAACGAGGAUUCCCCUAGUAACUGCGAGUGAAGCGGGAAAAGCUCAAAUUUAAAAUCUGGUGGCCUUCAGGUCGUCCGAGUUGUAAUUUAGAGAAGCGUCUUCCGCGCCGGACCGUGCACAAGUCUCCUGGAACGGAGCGUCAUAGAGGGUGAGAAUCCCGUCUUUGGCACGGAACCACCGGGGCUACCGUGAUGCGCUCUCGAAGAGUCGAGUUGUUUGGGAAUGCAGCUCAAAAUGGGUGGUGAACUCCAUCUAAAGCUAAACAUUGGCGAGAGACCGAUAGCGAACAAGUACCGUGAGGGAAAGAUGAAAAGCACUUUGGAAAGAGAGUGAAACAGUACGUGAAAUUGUUGAAAGGGAAACGCUUGGGGUCAGUCGCGUCGAUCGAGACUCAGCCUCGCCUCGGCUUGGUGUAUUUCUUGGCCGACGGGCCAGCGUUGAUUUUGUCCCUCGGAUAAUGGCAAGGGAAAGGUGGCACCCUUCACGGGGUGUGUUAUAGUCCCCUGUCGCAUGCGAGGGCUGGGAUCAAGGAACUCAGCACGCGCCUAUGACGGYGUCGGGGCUUCGGCCCACGUUUACGUGCUUAGGACGCUGGCGUAAUGGCUCCAAACGACCCGUCUUGAAACA